RNAcentral lists this ribosomal RNA (301 nucleotides) under uncultured bacterium. RNAcentral describes it as "partial 16S ribosomal RNA". It matches the Rfam family "Bacterial small subunit ribosomal RNA", at positions 509 to 807 of the family's 1533-position model. The record is from RNAcentral.
CAGUAGCCGCGGUAAUACGAAGGGUGCAAGCGUUAAUCGGAAUUACUGGGCGUAAAGCGCGCGUAGGUGGUUUGGUAAGAUGGAUGUGAAAUCCCCGGGCUCAACCUGGGAACUGCAUCCAUAACUGCUUGACUAGAGUACGGUAGAGGGUGGUGGAAUUUCCUGUGUAGCGGUGAAAUGCGUAGAUAUAGGAAGGAACACCAGUGGCGAAGGCGACCACCUGGACUGAUACUGACACUGAGGUGCGAAAGCGUGGGGAGCAAACAGGAUUAGAUACCCGUGUAGUCCCUGUCUCUUAUAC